This 28-nucleotide small RNA is filed under the name Bombyx mori (domestic silkworm). Its description in RNAcentral is "ovarian small RNA-33071". Lineage: Eukaryota; Metazoa; Arthropoda; Insecta; Lepidoptera; Bombycidae. The record is from RNAcentral.
UGAUUCUGUCUGCACUCAAUCCUCGUGA